Macaca fascicularis (crab-eating macaque) is the source of this 148-nucleotide unclassified non-coding RNA. It matches the Rfam family "Metazoan signal recognition particle RNA". From Rfam's summary of the family: The signal recognition particle (SRP) is a universally conserved ribonucleoprotein. It is involved in the co-translational targeting of proteins to membranes. Lineage: Eukaryota; Metazoa; Chordata; Mammalia; Primates; Cercopithecidae. The record is from Ensembl.
GCCAGGCAUGGUGGCGCAUGCCUGUAGUCCCAGCUACUCAGGAGGCUGAGGCAGGAGGAUUGCUUGAGCCCAGGAGUUCAAGGCUGCAGUGAGCUAUGAUUGCACCACUGUACUCUAGCCCGGGUGACAGAGCAAGACCCUGGCUCAU